This 88-nucleotide non-coding RNA is filed under the name Monodelphis domestica (gray short-tailed opossum). Lineage: Eukaryota; Metazoa; Chordata; Mammalia; Didelphimorphia; Didelphidae. The record is from Rfam by way of RNAcentral.
UAUGCUUGAGCAGGAUGAAGUCAGAGGAAACUCUAAUGGAGGUCUAUUUUAAUUCUAAUAUGCAAAUCAAUCAUCCAACCUAGACAUA